This 1003-nucleotide ribosomal RNA is filed under the name human gut metagenome. RNAcentral's name for it is "bacterial LSU rRNA". It matches the Rfam family "Bacterial large subunit ribosomal RNA", at positions 1926 to 2925 of the family's 2925-position model. The record is from RNAcentral.
AACGGCGGCCGUAACUAUAACGGUCCUAAGGUAGCGAAAUUCCUUGUCAGGUAAGUUCUGACCCGCAUGAAAGGCGUAAUGAUCUGGGCACUGUCUCAACAGCCCGCCCGGCGAAAUUGUAGUACCGGUGAAGAUGCCGGUUACCCGCGACAAGACGGAAAGACCCCAUGGAGCUUUACUGUAGCCUGAUAUUGGGUUUCGGUGUUGCAUGCACAGGAUAGAUGGGACGCUGGGAAAGAAGCGCUUUGGCGUUUCCGGAGCGGACGUUGGGAUACCAUCCUUGCGACAUUGGAAUUCUAACCUGCGCCUCUGAAUCGAGGCGGGGGACAUUGUCAGGUGGGCAGUUUGACUGGGGCGGUCGCCUCCUAAAAAGUAGCGGAGGCGUUCAAAGGUUCGUUCGAUCUGGACGGAAACCAGAUGAUUGAGUGCAAACGCAUAAACGAGCCUGACUGCGAGACUGACGGGUCGAGCAGAGACGAAAGUCGGAGUUAGUGAUCCGGUGGUAUGUGAGUGGAAAUGCCAUCGCUCAACGGAUAAAAGUUACCCUGGGGAUAACAGGCUGAUCUCCCCCAAGAGUCCACAUCGACGGGGAGGUUUGGCACCUCGAUGUCGGCUCAUCGCAUCCUGGGGCUGAAUUCGGUCCCAAGGGUUUGGCUGUUCGCCAAUUAAAGCGGUACGCGAGCUGGGUUCAGAACGUCGUGAGACAGUUCGGUCCCUAUCUGUCGUGGGCGCAGGAUAUUUGAAAGGCGCUGUCCCUAGUACGAGAGGACCGGGAUGGACGAACCUCUGGUGCACCAGUUGUCACGCCAGUGGCACAGCUGGGCAGCUAUGUUCGGAUCGGAUAAACGCUGAAAGCAUCUAAGCGUGAAGCCGGCCUUAAGAUAAGAUAUCCCACUGAGUCAAUCAGGUAAGACCCCUUGAAGACUACAAGGUUGAUAGGCACACAGUGUAAGCGGAGUGAUCCGUUCAGCUAGCGUGUACUAAUAGGUCGAGGGCUUGACCC